This 467-nucleotide ribosomal RNA is filed under the name uncultured bacterium. Its description in RNAcentral is "partial 16S ribosomal RNA". It matches the Rfam family "Bacterial small subunit ribosomal RNA", at positions 28 to 507 of the family's 1533-position model. The record is from RNAcentral.
GAUGAACGCUGACAGAAUGCUUAACACAUGCAAGUCAACUUGAAUUUGGGUUUUUAACUUAGGUUUGGGUGGCGGACGGGUGAGUAACGCGUAAAGAACUUGCCUCACAGCUAGGGACAACAUUUGGAAACGAAUGCUAAUACCUAAUAUUAUGAUAAUAGGGCAUCCUAUAAUUAUGAAAGCUAUAAGCGCUGUGAGAGAGCUUUGCGUCCCAUUAGCUAGUUGGAGAGGUAACGGCUCACCAAGGCGAUGAUGGGUAGCCGGCCUGAGAGGGUGAUCGGCCACAAGGGGACUGAGACACGGCCCUUACGCCUACGGGAGGAAACAGUGGGGAAUAUUGGACAAUGGACCGAGAGUCUGAUCCAGCAAUUCUGUGUGCACGAUGAAGUUUUUCGGAAUGUAAAGUGCUUUCAGUUGGGAAGAAACAAAUGACGGUACCAACAGAAGAAGUGACGGCUAAAUACGUG